RNAcentral lists this long non-coding RNA (483 nucleotides) under Nicotiana benthamiana. RNAcentral's name for it is "long non-coding RNA (NBEN_LNC033177)". The record is from RNAcentral. Lineage: Eukaryota; Viridiplantae; Streptophyta; Magnoliopsida; Solanales; Solanaceae.
CUUUAUUUUGAUGAAGAAAUUUUAAAACUUUUCUACUGAACCGGAAUAAUAAAGCAAUAACUCUUGGAUCGAACAUCAAAAUUAUAAACCGAAACCUCAAAUCGACAUCAGAAAGCUCGAACUAAAAUGACCUCAAUGAAAGCCCAUCUUCUCUUAUUGACGACUAACAGUCAAUUAGACGACUGGCAGUAUUGUUGACACUAUAACUAGAAACAAUUUGGUUGGCGUAUGAUGUGGAAACUGAAACUAAUCUUGAAACAGGCUUAUCCAAGCGUCUAUGUGAUUACUCAUGAAUCAUGAUAGAAAAGCAAUUGUUGCAAAAAUCGUCACAAGAAGAACUAAUGAUUCACAUUUAAAAGGUAGCUUGAGAAGCCGAAUAGGGAAUGGAAAGAAGUAGAGGAGUUCAUAUACAUCUACAUUCCUCUGUGAAUACGAUUGUUUACUCGAGAAGUGCUCUUCUUUUGGGACUUCAAUCCAGCUGCC